AACGAACGCUGGCGGCAUGCCUAACACAUGCAAGUCGAACGCGUGUAGCAAUACACGAGUGGCGGACGGGUGAGUAACGCGUGGGAACCUGCCCAGUGGUAGGGAAUAACUGCGGGAAACUGCAGCUAAUACCCUAUACGGCCCUUUGGGGAAGAUUCAUCGCCAUUGGAGGGGCCCGCGUCGGAUUAGCUAGUUGGCGGGGUAAGU
This 207-nucleotide ribosomal RNA is filed under the name uncultured bacterium. Its description in RNAcentral is "partial 16S ribosomal RNA". It matches the Rfam family "Bacterial small subunit ribosomal RNA", at positions 29 to 262 of the family's 1533-position model. The record is from RNAcentral.